RNAcentral lists this long non-coding RNA (207 nucleotides) under Gossypium barbadense (sea-island cotton). RNAcentral's name for it is "long non-coding RNA (GBAR_LNC009459)". The record is from RNAcentral. Lineage: Eukaryota; Viridiplantae; Streptophyta; Magnoliopsida; Malvales; Malvaceae.
CGUCUAAGCUUGUCCUUCACGGAACGUGCUAACUCAGUGGGUAACGAUCCUGUGGUUAAGAGAUUAACUAUAUACGUAUACCAUGGAUAGUGAGCCUCAGUCGAAAAUAAGCUUUCAUCAGGGAACUCAUCCUUUAUAGGAACAUCAUCAAAUAGAGUUUUUAUCCUACUCAAGUGGUUAGCCACCUGGUUUUCACAUCCCUUUUUG